GCGGGUGUAGCUCAACGGUAGAGCUCCGGUUUUCCAAACCGGCUGCGGGGGUUCGACUCCCUCUGCCCGCU
This 71-nucleotide transfer RNA is filed under the name Treponema sp. Its description in RNAcentral is "tRNA-Gly". It matches the Rfam family "tRNA". From Rfam's summary of the family: Transfer RNA (tRNA) molecules are approximately 80 nucleotides in length. Their secondary structure includes four short double-helical elements and three loops (D, anti-codon, and T loops). Further hydrogen bonds mediate the characteristic L-shaped molecular structure. tRNAs have two regions of fundamental functional importance: the anti-codon, which is responsible for specific mRNA codon recognition, and the 3' end, to which the tRNAs corresponding amino acid is attached (by aminoacyl-tRNA synthetases). tRNAs cope with the degeneracy of the genetic code in two manners: having more than one tRNA (with a specific anti-codon) for a particular amino acid; and 'wobble' base-pairing, i.e. permitting non-standard base-pairing at the 3rd anti-codon position. The record is from RNAcentral. Lineage: Bacteria; Pseudomonadati; Spirochaetota; Spirochaetia; Treponematales; Treponemataceae.